This 1157-nucleotide ribosomal RNA is filed under the name human metagenome. RNAcentral's name for it is "bacterial LSU rRNA". It matches the Rfam family "Bacterial large subunit ribosomal RNA", at positions 1117 to 2351 of the family's 2925-position model. The record is from RNAcentral.
ACUCAUUAAAAGAGUGCGUAAUAGCUCACUGGUCGAGUGACUCUGCGCGGAAAAUAUAACGGGGCUAAGUAUGCAACCGAAGCUUGGGAUUGUCUAAAGACAGUGGUAGGGGAGCGUCGUGUAUGGGGUGAAGUCGCAUCGGAAGGAGCGGUGGACUGUACACGAGUGAGAAUGCCGGAAUGAGUAGCGAGAAUUAUGUGGGAAUCAUAAUGGCCGAAAAUCUAAGGUUUCUUGGGGAAGGUUCGUCCGCCCAAGGUAAGCCGGGAGCUAAGGCGAGGCCGCAAGGCGUAGUCGAUGCACAUACGGUAAAGAUUCCGUAGCCGCCGAACUUUAAGUCAGAGGGACACUUGCAGAUAGCGGAACCCAGCCGUUGGUUGAGCUGGGCGAAAGGGACUGAAAUUAGUAGGGAAGUCCGCGAUGCUGAAAGGCGAGAAAAGCUCUGAUGGAUACUAAGGCGCCCGUACCGCAAACCGACACAGGUAGAUGAGGAGAGAAUCCUAAGGCCAACGGGAGAAGGGUUGUUAAGGAACUCGGCAAAUUGACCCCGUAACUUCGGAAGAAGGGGAGCCCCGAAAGGGGCCGCAGUGAAUAGGCCCAAGCAACUGUUUACCAAAAACACAGGUUUAUGCUAAAUCGAAAGAUGACGUAUAUGAGCUGACGCCUGCCCGGUGCCGGAAGGUUAAGAGGAGAGCUUAGAGGCAACUCGAAGGUUUGAAUUGAAGCCCCGGUAAACGGCGGCCGUAACUAUAACGGUCCUAAGGUAGCGAAAUUCCUUGUCAGGUAAGUUCUGACCCGCACGAAUGGCGUAAUGAUUUGGGCACUGUCUCAACAGCCCGCCCGGCGAAAUUGUAGUACUGGUGAAGAUGCCAGUUACCCGCAACUAGACGGAAAGACCCCAUGGAGCUUUACUGCAGUUUAAUACUGGGAAUCGGUAAUGCAUGUACAGGAUAGGUGGGAGACUAGGAAGCAUGGUCGUCAGGUCAUGUGGAGUCACCGGUGGGAUACCACUCUUGUAUUGCUGAUUUCCUAACCUGCGGCCGUGAAUCCGGUCGGGGGACACUGUUAGACGGGCAGUUUGACUGGGGCGGUCGCCUCCAAAAGAGUAACGGAGGCGCUCAAAGGUUCGUUCAGCACGGACGGAAAUCGUGCAUUGAGUG